RNAcentral lists this transfer RNA (75 nucleotides) under Campylobacterota bacterium. RNAcentral's name for it is "tRNA-Val". It matches the Rfam family "tRNA". Rfam says of the family: Transfer RNA (tRNA) molecules are approximately 80 nucleotides in length. Lineage: Bacteria; Pseudomonadati; Campylobacterota. The record is from RNAcentral.
GGUCGUAUAGCUCAGUGGUAGAGCACUACCUUGACAUGGUAGGGGUCAUAGGUUCAAACCCUGUUACGACCACCA